UAUUUGUACUUGAAAGAAAAAUCUAGAAGCUAUGAUACCACUACAAGAAAAUGCUAAAACAACGACGGCUUAAUAGCGACGGUCAAAUACACCGUCGUUCUUACAAAAACAGCAUCCGCUGUAAGCCGUCGGUGAGCACCGACUGCUUGUAAAGGAUAUAACGACAGUUUGACAGUCGUUGAAAAACAACGACAGUUUCAAGCCGGCGUUAAGUUGAUUAAUGUGCCUCUCAAAUUUCGUUUACCUAUGGCGACGGUCUUAAACGGUCGGUGAUGGAAGGAAAAAGGGGGUUAACAUAAAGUGGCCCUUUUCAGUCGGUUUAUUUUAGCGCAACUUUAGAGAGAGAAGUUGCCUCUUUCAGUCGGCGAAUGGAAGAAGGCAAGAAGCCAUUGACGGUCGACCUCAUUUUCUCUCCGCCUCUUUGCCGCCGCGACAUUGCAGGCUGAAGCAGUCACAACUCCCUCCUUUAUCCUGUUCUUCACUGUGAUCUAUUCUAGGUAUUAUCUGCCAUUACUAGCAAGUUAAGUUUUGCUGUCUUGCAUUGAAGCUUUAAUUCUGAUUUUGCUAACUUUUGCUCCGAAAUUAGUUGAGAAUUUUUCGUAGUUUUUCAAAUUUCUUCCGAUGCUUGUUUAUAUUUGCGUUAUACUUUUUGCGAGAUGAAUUCAGCAAGUACCUUCAUUUGAUAGUAAAUACUUCGUUGUUUUCAUAAAUUAUCGAUUUUCUUCGUGCUAGGGUUUUUUGUUAGCAUAUUUUGAUGCAACAUUUUGUAAUCUAUGUUUAAUUUGGCUUGAAUUAGAAAUUAUCUAAGUGUGAAUAAUUGCUGAUUUUCCUCUCUUUUUGUUGAAUUUCUGAUUGAUAUUGUUACUUGUUAGUUUAUGCUAGGGAUAUUAGUACUUUCUUCCCAGUUUCUUUGUUGAUGAGAGAACAAUUCACAAAUAUCAAAAUCUGCAAUUUCUCUCUCUCUUUCUUGAUAAAGAUACUACACAAGCAUUUCAAUAUAUCCUCUGAGAUUUUGUUUGGUUCGCUGUCUCCUCCCAAUUCCUUGUUCACAGGCUGAAAGACAGAAGAUGUUAGAAUUAUGAGAUACUCCCUCUGUUUCACCAUAAGCUUAACACUUACUAAAACUGAAUGUUUCACAAUAACCUUAACGCUUGCAUUUUUACACUAUUUGGGUUUGUUUUCCCUCUUUCUCACUACUCUUACACAAGUCCCUUCUUCUUUCUCUCUCUCUCGUUUUCUUAGUGUCAAGGAAAAUGUUAAUUUCAUUGUGAAACAAUAGUUAUAGAUUUUAUUGGAAUUGAAAUGCUUGAAACCAAAUUAAGAUAAAGCUAAUGCUUUUCACCAAGCUCCUACCCAAAUUUCUUCCUUUUUUCAGGUCUUUCUUCUUACUUUUUUUUUUGGGUGGGGGUGCGGGAGAGGGGAUUGAUUACAUGUGGUUAGCUAUAUUUUCAAGUAGGCUGUUGGACAGUAGAUAUGAGAAGCAUAUACUUGCCUGAUAUGCACAACAAAUGAGGUACAAAUGAGGUGUAUGAGGUGCAAGGUUAAGUGGGUUGUUUGAUACACAUCAUAAUAUGAAACUGAAGAAAGCAUAAGACCAAUUAAACCUUGAAAUUUUUACUAUUAAUAUGCACAACAAUGUUGCGAGGCAUUGUUGUUUAUUAAGGUGGAAAAAAUACUCCUUAUGCUUUUUAUGUAGAUAAGAGAUCGCUUGAUAUACGACAAUUCAACUAGAUACUGGAUAAUAAAUGAUAUUCUCAUUCUAAUCCAUCAUAUCUUGCUCUAGGGGUAUGCCAGCCCCUGUAACCAAUUGUCUUUGUGAGAUUUGUAGCUAUAUGAUAAAAUAUCUAUGUAAUCUCAAUGCUUGUCUUCUAGUGAGUCAGGUUAAUUGUAUUUGAUGCAAUCCAAUGUGUUUGGCAGGCAUAUGGGUAAUCUUAAGGAAUAAUGAAAUGCUAACCUGGCCAGAGAAAAUCAAAUUUGCUAUUGGCCUCUUGCCUGCUAUGGUUGGUGGACAGUCAUAUGUUGAGGCACAAGAUGGUUUGAGUGUCCAAGAGUGGAUGAGGAAGCAAGUAGGAAAAUUCAUUCAUUUCAAACCGUCUACUGAUAAUUGUUUCUGAUUCUGUUGAUUAUUGGUGUACUUGAUCGUGUAACUGAUGAAGUAUCCAUUGCCAUGUCAAAGGCACUAAACUUCAUAAAUCCAGAUGAACUUUCAAUGCAGUGCAUCUUGAUUGCUCUGAACCGAUUUCUGCAGCUUGAGGCGCAUAUGGAGGCAAAGGUCGCUGCACAGAUGGAAGAGGUGGAGGCAAGGAACUCGACUACUACUUUAUUUCCCGACACCGGGAUCUAUUUUGCGUACAUAUAUUUAAUCUAGGUAGUUUGUCUAACUAUAGACAUUUAGUGUCUAUAUAUUAUCGGCGUCUAACUUAUUUAAUUAGUUUCUAGAUUUGCCGAUAUAUAUUUUUGUAGAACCCGACUUCUACUUUAUUUCCCGACAUCGGGAUUUAUUUUGUAUACAUAAGUUUAAUCUAUUUCAUGUAAUUAUAUAAGUAUCUACGUAAAUUAUAAUAUAUAUCAAAAUUGCAUA
Beta vulgaris subsp. vulgaris (sugar beet) is the source of this 2581-nucleotide RNA transcript. It is a transcript of the gene named 15-cis-phytoene desaturase, chloroplastic/chromoplastic, with no coding region annotated. NCBI's taxonomy places the organism in Eukaryota, Viridiplantae, Streptophyta, Magnoliopsida, Caryophyllales, Amaranthaceae. The transcript is spliced from 4 exons. The record is from RefSeq and is a predicted model, not a curated record.